CAAAGACACAUACCCGCUCCAGAGGCAGGCAUAAAAUAUACUUGAAUGUCCAGCUACGAGUAAAAGAUACUGGACCCAGAUAAACAACAACCAGAAUCCUUUCCUUAAUGCCUCACGAGAGGAAGGGGGAAAAAAAAUAUUCCAUGUCCAAGAGACUGUGGGGUCAUGGCCGCAGGACCACUUAGUGCUUGUGGAAAAGCUGCCUCAGAAAAGUGUCACAAACAAGGAGAGGAAGAGGAAGGAGCUGCUGUCUGCGUCUGAAUGAAGCUAAAAAUGGAAAGCGCAUGCUGGAGGAGCGGAACCCAGCCUUGCCUUUUCCAAAUGGGGAAGCCUGAACUUUCCCACCAGCUUUCAACACACAAACAACUUUCAAAACAACCUGGCCCCCCUCCUGACGUCCUCUUAUCCUUUGGCAAAGAAGGCUGAGAAAGUCUACAUCCUGCCAGCAUCAGUGGAGCAACAGCCUUUCAUAGACCACGGGAACAUACUCCCUUGGACCAAAAAAAAAAAAAAAAAUUCUUAUAUGACUGUGACUUGAUGCUAUCUCAAAACUUUAAGCUUGAAGGACUAAAUCAAAUAAAUCCCUGUAACAAAA
Alligator mississippiensis (American alligator) is the source of this 595-nucleotide long non-coding RNA. RefSeq lists it as uncharacterized. The transcript has 2 exons. Lineage: Eukaryota; Metazoa; Chordata; Crocodylia; Alligatoridae. The record is from RefSeq and is a predicted model, not a curated record.